AUGGACAGUCCAGUGUAUCAACCAGUGUGUUGCCCAAGGCCACAAAAAACAGCAGAAGUUUACGUGUUAAGUCCUCAGCAAAAGGAAAAUAUUUCCAAGGCUUCCCAAUUCACAGCCUUAGUCUGCAAAUACAUGUCACUUCAUAGUUUCUUUGGAAUGAACGUUAAUAAGAAAUGUUACUUGGAUCAAUCAAGUUCAUGCAUAUAUAGUGCAGGAGGAAAAACCAAAAACUCUUCUGGAAAAGAAUUUUUUUAACCAUUUCAAUAGCUGUUAAACUAUAAAUGCAAACAAACAUGAGACAAAAGGGUACAGAUACAUUAGUAUGUAAGAAAGUGUGUUUAGAAUCCAUUUCAGAGACAGUGAAGUUAAAAUCAGCUGGGCAAAAUUUCCUUCAGUUUUCUGAAUGUUUUUUUAAAAUAUAUAUAUAAAUUUAGGGGGAACCUCUGAAAUAUUACCAAACUGUUGCCCCCUUUAAUGACAUAAAACAAUUAUCUUAGCUACAAUUCUUGCAAAGUGCUGGUGUAUUUUAAAGUGGAGAUACAGUAUCCAUUUUUACCAAAGAACCUGAACAGCAAUUCUUAGCGGAAAGAAUGGAAACAAAAUACAGAAAAAAGGGAAGAAAGGCUAUCUAGGAAAUGCAGUGCAAUGCUCUACCCAUUCCUUGGCGUUAAGACCCACUGAACUCUGCUGGAGUUACUGCUGAGUAGGCAAUUAUAGGACUGAACUGUUGAUGACUUUGCAGCCAUGGCUCUCAGCAUGCUUUCUCUUCUGCUCCGUACUCCUGUGAUAGAUGGUUGUGCUGCAACAAUGCCAGAGAAUUUUAUACGAAGGGGAAAUGCCUUUUCUUUUUUUUUUGAGAUUUAACUCCCUUACCCUUCCUCGUCAACCCUUUCCACUUUCUCCCUUAGUUGCCAUUAUAAACAAUGUCUACUACAUGGGCUUUUGCUUAUCUGUAAAGGGAAGGCAUGGCAAACAAAACAGGGAGAAACAGACACAGAACACACAUACAAACCUACAGUGAAAAAAGUUGGCCUCAGACACUGUCAUAGCUGUUUGACUGUUUUUAGUAUUUUUGUUAGAUAUUUGCAAAGGGAAGCCUUUUCUACAGAGGAUAAAUUAAUUUCAAGAAAAAUGUCUUGAGUUUUAAGAAUAAACAUGUCUCCAAAAGAGGAGACA
RNAcentral lists this long non-coding RNA (1176 nucleotides) under Pogona vitticeps (central bearded dragon). RNAcentral's name for it is "lncRNA (ENSPVIG00000009780.1)". The record is from RNAcentral. Lineage: Eukaryota; Metazoa; Chordata; Lepidosauria; Squamata; Agamidae.